ACUAUUUUGGCAGAUUAGUGUAAUAAAAUUAGAAUUUAUAAAUGAAUUUAAUAUUCAAAUAGUA
Molecule: transfer RNA, 64 nt
Filed under: Brachytarsina amboinensis
Lineage: Eukaryota; Metazoa; Arthropoda; Insecta; Diptera; Streblidae
Description: tRNA-Leu
Source: RNAcentral